AUCAAAAAGUGUCAGGGGCGCCUGGGUGGCGCAGUUGGUUGAGCGUCCGACUUCAGCCAGGUCACGAUCUCAUGGUCCGUGAGUUCGAGCCCCGCGUCAGGCUCUGGGCUGAUGGCUCAGAGCCUGGAGCCUGUUUCCGAUUCUGUGUCUCCCUCUCUCUCUGCCCCUCCCCCGUUCAUGCUCUGUCUCUCUCUGUCCCAAAAAUAAAUAAACGUUGAAAAAAAAAAUUAAAAAAAAAAAAGAAUAAAAAAAGUAAAAUAAAGUGAAAAUGCAGCAUACCAAAAUAUAUAGGAUGUAGUAAAAACAGUACAAAGAAGGACAUUUAUGGUGGUAAACACAUUAAACAAGAAGGAAGAUCUCAAGUCAACAACCUAACUUUACACCUCAAGGAACUAGAAGACUGAACUAAAUCAAAAGUUAGCAGAAAAAAAGGAAAACAAUAAAGAUUAGAAUAGUAAUAAAUAAAUAAAUAAAUAAAUAAAUAAAUAAAUAAAUAGAAAAUAGAAAAUUUCAAAGAAACUAAAAUCGUUUGAAAA
Molecule: long non-coding RNA, 536 nt
Organism: Acinonyx jubatus (cheetah)
Lineage: Eukaryota; Metazoa; Chordata; Mammalia; Carnivora; Felidae
Exons: 2
Source: RefSeq, a predicted model, not a curated record